Molecule: ribosomal RNA, 253 nt
Filed under: uncultured bacterium
Lineage: Bacteria
Description: partial 16S ribosomal RNA
Rfam family: Bacterial small subunit ribosomal RNA
Source: RNAcentral
UACGUAGGGGGCAAGCGUUGUCCGGAAUCAUUGGGCGUAAAGCGCGCGUAGGCGGCCCGGUAAGUCCGCUGUAAAAGUCCAGGGCUCAACCCUGGAAAGCCGGUGGAUACUGUCGGGCUAGAGUCCGGAAGAGGCGAGUGGAAUUCCUGGUGUAGCGGUGGAAUGCGCAGAUAUCAGGAGGAACACCGAUGGCGAAGGCAGCUCGCUGGGACGGUACUGACGCUGAUGCGCGAAAGCCAGGGGAGCAAACGGG